Molecule: ribosomal RNA, 1139 nt
Filed under: Salmonella enterica
Lineage: Bacteria; Pseudomonadati; Pseudomonadota; Gammaproteobacteria; Enterobacterales; Enterobacteriaceae
Description: bacterial SSU rRNA
Rfam family: Bacterial small subunit ribosomal RNA
Source: RNAcentral
AAAUUGAAGAGUUUGAUCAUGGCUCAGAUUGAACGCUGGCGGCAGGCCUAACACAUGCAAGUCGAACGGUAACAGGAAGCAGCUUGCUGCUUUGCUGACGAGUGGCGGACGGGUGAGUAAUGUCUGGGAAACUGCCUGAUGGAGGGGGAUAACUACUGGAAACGGUGGCUAAUACCGCAUAACGUCGCAAGACCAAAGAGGGGGACCUUCGGGCCUCUUGCCAUCAGAUGUGCCCAGAUGGGAUUAGCUUGUUGGUGAGGUAACGGCUCACCAAGGCGACGAUCCCUAGCUGGUCUGAGAGGAUGACCAGCCACACUGGAACUGAGACACGGUCCAGACUCCUACGGGAGGCAGCAGUGGGGAAUAUUGCACAAUGGGCGCAAGCCUGAUGCAGCCAUGCCGCGUGUAUGAAGAAGGCCUUCGGGUUGUAAAGUACUUUCAGCGGGGAGGAAGGUGUUGCGGUUAAUAACCGCAGCAAUUGACGUUACCCGCAGAAGAAGCACCGGCUAACUCCGUGCCAGCAGCCGCGGUAAUACGGAGGGUGCAAGCGUUAAUCGGAAUUACUGGGCGUAAAGCGCACGCAGGCGGUCUGUCAAGUCGGAUGUGAAAUCCCCGGGCUCAACCUGGGAACUGCAUUCGAAACUGGCAGGCUUGAGUCUUGUAGAGGGGGGUAGAAUUCCAGGUGUAGCGGUGAAAUGCGUAGAGAUCUGGAGGAAUACCGGUGGCGAAGGCGGCCCCCUGGACAAAGACUGACGCUCAGGUGCGAAAGCGUGGGGAGCAAACAGGAUUAGAUACCCUGGUAGUCCACGCCGUAAACGAUGUCUACUUGGAGGUUGUGCCCUUGAGGCGUGGCUUCCGGAGCUAACGCGUUAAGUAGACCGCCUGGGGAGUACGGCCGCAAGGUUAAAACUCAAAUGAAUUGACGGGGGCCCGCACAAGCGGUGGAGCAUGUGGUUUAAUUCGAUGCAACGCGAAGAACCUUACCUGGUCUUGACAUCCACAGAACUUUCCAGAGAUGGAUUGGUGCCUUCGGGAACUGUGAGACAGGUGCUGCAUGGCUGUCGUCAGCUCGUGUUGUGAAAUGUUGGGUUAAGUCCCGCAACGAGCGCAACCCUUAUCCUUUGUUGCCAGCGGUUAGG